Long non-coding RNA from Gadus chalcogrammus (walleye pollock), 1708 nucleotides. RefSeq lists it as uncharacterized. The transcript has 3 exons. NCBI's taxonomy places the organism in Eukaryota, Metazoa, Chordata, Actinopteri, Gadiformes, Gadidae. The record is from RefSeq and is a predicted model, not a curated record.
UGUGUGUGUGUGUGUGUGUGUGUGUGUGUGUGUGUGUGUGUGUGUGUGUGUGUGUGUGUGUGUGUGUGUGUGUGUGUGUGUGUGUGUGUGUGUGUGUGUGUGUGCUCACCCGAGUAUAGAGGGGUCCAGCUGGGGCAGGUGACACUUUUGGUGGAAGGAGCGUGGACAGUGGUCACACAUCACCAGGUCACCCAGUCUCCCACACACAAAGCAAUAAUCAUCGUUCUUCUGUUCCUCCUGCACACACACACAGUGACAGAUGAACUCACCAGGACUUUAGGGUCUGGAUGGCACAGUGGACAGUCACACUGCUCAGAGUGGGGCGUUAAGCAUUGCUGAACCCUGCGCCACGAACUCCACUGGACUCAUCCAACGGUCCUCCGUCCGAAUACUUUUCCCACACCUCCCUGGAGAAAGAGGACCUUCAGCCAUCCGACUACGCCUGACCAGACCAUAACUCCCCUCACUUUCCUACAGCGUUCAUAAUGCCACGCAACAUUUAACAAAUGCUGUUGUUCAUGCCAUGAUCAUAAUCAAUGUGUAUGCAUUUGCCAUGUCUUUUUUAAAUAAGUUCAUCGAAGUUCAUUAAAUUAGCUAUAUUUUGGUCCAGGAAGACAAUUGGCAGUCAGGAAUAGGUAGACAGACAGACCCUUAUACCUGAGGCAAAGCGGCUCCUGUGCAGCAUCCCACUCAGAGCUCCACAUAUCACUCUGAACUCAUUCUGGCCGACCCUGGGCCUCUCGUCUGUCACUUCGUCCAGAUUAUCUCCUUGGUCUGGAUAUAUAUAUAUAUACACAUACAACAUUUGAAUGAAUAAUUAAGUCUACAAUGCUAAUAAUUCCAUUGCUCAAAAUGGAAGUUAAAUUUAAGACCUGUUGAAGACUUAUUGAUGCAAUUUAAGACUUAUUUAACCUACAUACUGGCAAAAAAGUAUAAAGGAUAUGAAGGAAAAUCAAAGUACCAUAAUUACUUGCAAAGUAAAUAAUUGCAUUUGCAUUCAAAAUAACAAGACUACACAGAACUGUGUGUACGUAAGAGAUGUAAGAGUAUAAUAUGCAAUGCUACAUUCAACAAAAACAUAGAUCCCAGACAUAAAAUGUCUGCAGCUGGUGGUUAAUCUAACUGAUUAGCCACAUACAGUGAGUCACAUAAUAUAUCAGAGCGUGAUUCAUAUAAUCGCGUGUUAUAGGUGCCUAUAAUGUAGUACUCUCUAAGACAUAUCUGUUUACAAUUAGGAGAUAGGACAGAUACAAACCAAAGUUAGGUUUGUGGAAUUUCGCUGAAUAUGCUGACGUGGGCUAUGCCUCAUUUAGGUAAAAAUGUUUUGUCUGCCACAUACAACCGUUUGUGAACCAUUACAGAGUUACAGGGUCAUCGUUAAUGCAGUGCGUAUGGAGCCAGUUUCCUGCCAUAAUUCAAACCUGAAAAAAAAAGUUUCAAAGGCUUGUAAGUCUGGGUUUGAAAACUCAACGCCUUGUAAAAAAGGUUUUGCAACACUGAAAAAAGAGAUUAUAACCUGAAAAAAAUGCAAACAUCUGUAAACAUGAUUUUGUGUUCUAUUUUAUCUUCUUCAUCAUUUUCACCAACACAUUUUCAAAGUUCAAACAAUUUCCCCAGCGCAUUUGCAGAGUUUCAAAUCUGGCACUGUUCUAACAGUGUAUUUCAUUGUUCCCGCUUUUGAAACCUUGUAAAUGGGAUUCUGCAAACA